Molecule: long non-coding RNA, 660 nt
Organism: Pseudophryne corroboree (corroboree frog)
Lineage: Eukaryota; Metazoa; Chordata; Amphibia; Anura; Myobatrachidae
Exons: 4
Source: RefSeq, a predicted model, not a curated record
AGAAUGGCAUUCCACAUAGUACUAUGAGGUCUUAACACAUCACUAACUAAUAAUAAAUUAAUUAAUCAGCCAGCAGGAAGUGAUGUAAUAUCAAGGGAGCUAUAAAGGGAUGUCCUUAUAUUGCCUCUCAUUCUGUAGUUGGGAUUCAGUGAGGUUGCACUUGUUCCUGUAAACAGGAAUAGUUUCGUUCAGGAUUUGAAAUUUUCCUAAGUUCUCUGUUUGGUGACAUGUAUAAACAGAGGUAGACUAUAAGGUUCCACCAUUCUUGAUUGAAAAUAGAUAUUAUAUUUAUCGAAUUGAAUAUGUGAUUGGAUGUAAUCAUUGGAUAUUCUAAACCUUUCUAAUCAAUGGUAAUCACUCCUACUAUAAGAACUGAUUCCAAACCCCUGAUGAAGUCCUAACGGACGAAACGCGUUGGGUUUUGCAACGUCUGGUUAACAAAGUCCUUAUCACAAACAUCUGGUUGGAGAUACAUCCAUUUCGAGUUCUGACUGUGAUCACCUGGCUGUAAAAUCCUCACAUCCAACUGUAAUUUAUGUAUAAGAUUGUAAUAUUGUUUUAUAUGAAUUUUUAGAAGGUUGUGUCAAUAACAAACGCUUAGGAUAAAUAUCGUUUGUUUCUGUACAAUAAAAACUUUUAAUUAUUGUCAUACAAAAGGCA